AGUUGGCGGUGUGCAGAUCACGAGGGUGUCUUGCGUUUUACAUUUAUUCAUCUUUCCCAGCGGUUGCGCUGCUGUCAAUACAUUCCUCUGCACGGGUGUCGCCUAAUCACGCAGAGAAUACAACUGUGAGCACAGGGAGUCCAGGUAGGUUUGGACAAGAAAGGAGUAAGCAUUCUGUAUUGAGCAGCAAAACACCGCGGGGAACUUCCGGAUCUGGCCACUUUACUACGAAAGUGGGAACGCAUUUAAGACCUAAUUUGGUUUUGUUUGCAGAAGCCGUAAGCUUAGCCAACAUUUAGUACAUUGAAUUUCAAAUGGGUCUUGUUUUCACCCGAGAUUCUGCUUGUGACGACUGCUGUUGCUUCCGAAAUCGAAGGCUAUUGCUGUAAUCAAGGUCCUCCCAUACAACCGGGGCGUUUACAAAAAAUGAUGGGGGUUGUCCGACUUAUGAUGCUCAUGAUAAGUUCGUCACAGAAACAUUAAAAACACUGUCAUAACAAAAUCAGAUUUUAGGUAUUGUCGCAAUGAACUGAUUACAUGCGGCUUAAACAUGCGGGACGAACAAGUACAAGUUCCACAGACGGACUGCGCGGAUUGGAUGUCACAUCUUCCCGACAAACUGUGGAAGGUGCCGCUAUGGAACCUUGCCAUUCCUGGAAGUCAUGAUACAAUGACCUAUCAUCUGGAUGACUGUUCGCCCGUUGUACAGUCUGAAUCCCUCUUCCUGAGAGUGCUCGACCACUGUUUCCCCUGUGUCAUGCGUCCUUGUGUGAAGAGGUGGGCCACCACCCAAGAAUGCGACAUUUCUGAUCAGCUUGAUGCGGGGAUUCGGUUCCUGGAUCUGAGGAUCGCUCAUAAGAAAGACAGUGACAUUGAUGUUUUCCAUUUUGCCCAUGGCAUCUACUCCCAGCAGACUGUGAAGGACACCGUCACAAAGGUGGUCCUGUGGCUGCAGGAGCAUCCUAAGGAGGUGGUCAUCAUUGCAUGCUCAGCAUUUGAUGGCAUGAAUCAAGAAGAACACCUGGAACUUAUUGACUUCCUAAGAAGACUGUUUGAGAAGAAACUGUGUCCCAAAACAGAAACGCCAUCACUACUUUUGUGCUGGGAUCGUGGCUAUCAGGUGAUCCUCUCAUAUGAUGACACAGCUGCAGAAACUUACACUGACCUCUGGCCGGGGAUUGCUUACUGGUGGGCCAAUACGCCUGACCCAAAAGAUCUCAUCUCAUUUCUUGAGGGGCGGAAAGAAAGUGGAAGGCCAACAGAGGCAUUUUUUGUGGCUGGAAUGAACCUCACAGAAAACUUGAGAUAUGUUAUUCAGCAUCCUUGUCAGACUAUGAGGACAAUGACUCUGCAAGUCUAUAAGUUCUUACUUGACUGGGUCAAGAAACAACAUCCGGGUCCAAGUAAAACCAGUCUUAACAUCAUCUGUGCAGAUUUUGUGGGAGACAAUGCGUUUGUUCAUAUUGUGAUUGCACUUAACAAAGACAUUCUCAGUUGAUCUGCAUUUGCCUGAAGCUGAAUUAAAUUCAGUGAACAUAUAGAUUUGCACUUUUGUUUUGAGUCUUAAAAAUGCAGUCCUCCAUUAUGUUUUGGUUUAGCAAAUGACUGUUGAUAUUUCAACUCGACAGCCAAUCAAAUUACACCCGUCCCCUCUGUGCUCCUGAAGUACGUGUGCUGAUUGGCUGGAGUUGUUUAUAGCUUGGUCCAUGCCACUAUGUUUGUUUCCCAUUUACAGAGCCAGGACCAUGUACGAACAACAGAGUUUUUUUUACCGCUAAUACUGACAGCUACAGAACCAUGAGGAGCAAUUUGUUGAAUUUUAGUUAAAGUGUAUGGGAUAAGAAUCACGGACUUCGCCUUUAAUACCAAAACCAAAUUAACUACUUGGGUAACACUGUGUGUGCAUGUGCAUGCGCCCAUAACACUUAAAAUGACAUUGCCAAAAUGACUUAAAUAUAUAUGUCUAUCGUUAUCAAUCAUCCAGAAGCAUGCUUGUAGGCUGUCGAGUAUUGUCUGAUAAAUAUGUAUAGUACGUUUUUAAAAUGUUUGCACUUUAUUGACACUCCCUACACACUUCAGCGUUAAGGUUGCGAUCUUCUUCCGAGUUCUCAAUAUUUUGGGUGGUUUUCAAAUGUAAAUUUUAACUGAAUUGGUAUUCCGGAUCAGCCUCUCAACGUGGUAUUAAAUAACCAAGCGCAAACUCCCUUUUGUGAGUUUAUGUAAGAAUUUCUUAUUUGAAAUUGCUGUGGUGCAAUGUGGUGUAACGUUACCGGUCAGUUAUAUUUUUAAUAGGAAAUAAGAGGUGGCAAGGCUACUUUGGAUAAACGCAGUGGAAUAUGGUAGUGCUGUUGCUAUCUCUUCUGCAUGCCAUCUUAAGCAUCUCUGUAUCUCCUCUCCAUGUGACUGCGUCGAGGCAAGGAUAGAAUGAAAGUGCCGUUCAAAAUAGUAUCGAGAAAACAACGCCAUCUAGUGAAUUGUAGAUGAACUUCAGAUAACAGCCGUCUUGCAGAGAAGUCGGUUGUGAAAUGUGCAGCAGUUCUGUAAAACAUUUAGUAUUCUGUUAUAAUUUCUACAUUACUGUCACAGCUGAACACAGCUAUUUUAUGGUGUUAGUUUUGGCUUUGUGUGUUACAACAUGUGAAAGGACAUCUAAGUUUAGAUGCCUCUUCUCUUUUCACUCAGUAAGGUGCUUAACGCGCUACUUAUGUGAUUAUCUUGUUCAGUGCUUCCACCCACUACUGGGUCCUGUUUGUUUUGAUGUCCAUGCACGUGGUAAAUAAACAUAGCCAGAUAUCCAAAACCAUUUUUAAUAAGUAAACUUUUAUAAGCAUCCAUCAUGGUCGUCUGGCAUUGCCAAUCAUUUAAGUAAUCCAGACUAUUGUAGGUAAACUCAGGAUUGUUUUGUAUCCAAAUAAAGCAUUUUUAUUUUCUAAAGUAUUGCAAUUCAAUGACUGCAUUUUAUUUUAUAUUCCCAAAACCAGUGAAAUUAUGAACGGCAAAACAUUCGCAAAGCACCUCAAAUGAUGCAUAACAAUGCCAUACAUUAUUAUAUGAUUCGAGGCCAAAAAUAAACUUAACAAAACAAUAGACUAAAUAAUCUCAGAUAAGAAGAGGAUAAUAACAGUACUGCAUUUGAAACAUUUGAGAGGAGAGAUUAGGAAUCAUUCCCUUUCACUGCUGGUUCGCUCUCUCUCUCUCCUCCCCUCGCCCCGGUGGCAUAACCAGAUUACCACAGAUUCACUGUUGCUGUUAGAGGCCUGUGCUGCUGACAGCUUCAGAGUGUGUCUGAAUUGGCUUAGAGCAACAGACCUACCAGAUGGUCCUAUAGGGAGCCUAGGGGUGUCUAAUUACCAAGGGCUUAAUCGGCCUUCCCCCUGACCAGAAGCUGACAGGUAACCCUGUGUCGGGUCUCCCAGUCAUAGUCCCAGGUGCUUCGAGGAGCCCCGCACUUUUUGGAACUUUCCGCAGGGGAAGUGCUUUUGGAACACACUGGAGCAGCUAGUCAUUAAGAAUGGAUAAGAAGGAGGAGGAUGAGGAUAAUAUCUUCACCACUUGGGCGCAGGGUUUCGAUCAACAGCAGGGGAGCGAGGAGCCAGAGGAAUCAGAGAGGAAGUGCAGUCUGAACAUUCCCAGGCCCAGUCGAUCCAUUGCUAACCGCCGAGCCUCACUGCCUUGUCCGUCCACAUUACAAGCCAUGCAGCUGACCCGCCUGCACAGCGCCACCAUGGCACCCAGUCCUGCCAGUCACGGAGGCAGGAAAGAUGGCGAGGCACGGAAGCACUACCGGGCACGCCAUGCAGGCAUCAACGGGGGCGACGUGUGCCCCAAAGCCAACAGCACCCCCGAGAGGGAGAGGCGGGCCCCUGCCAUUCCCACAAUUCCCGAGAUCACAGAGACCCUGGAGAAGAAGACCAGGUUCAGGAGCAGGAAUGUCAUGUCUAUGAGCGAUGCAGACAGCAUUUGUCUAAUCUGCCAUGAUGAUCUCUACAAAGGUGGGAGAGGUGUGAGAGAAUUACACUGCUCACACAGCUUUCACACUGAGUGCAUAGAGGAGUGGCUGUGGAGGAAGCAGGCCUGCCCCACCUGUCGCGUGCAUGUGGCUAUGCCCGAGCCUCUCUACUGGACCUCCACUCGUGUUAAAGUGCCCUAACUGACCAAAAUACACACACACACACACACACACACACACACACACACACACACACACACACACACACACACACACGCGCACACACGCACACACGCACACACAUACCUCACCAACAUCCAGCAAAACCCGGACCACAAGAAAGCUAAACUGCAGAAGAGACUCAUUCCUGCCAACUGUACAGCAGAAGGGACAAUAAUCAGCUGUUUUGUUUGUUUAUUUUUUUUACACAAAAUAGGCAUAUUAUUCAUCAUGAUUGUGGUUUGUGGACUUGCCAUAACAACAAUAUGAAUUUGUGUCCGGACUUAAAGACAUUUUCUAUUUUGUACAGUCACUGGAGAGAGAAAUAAUCCAGUGUACAUAAAUGUAAAUAUGGUUGUAUGUAGAUUUCCUAAUAUUAUGUCUUUUUAAAAGUUAUGUUGACAGAAGGAUGACAUCAGGUAGACAGUGUGUAGAGGUCACAUUCUAUUGCAUAAUUCCCCCUAAUAAUAUGUGUCAAUUGGAAAACUUGUUUUGAUGGGAAUAUGAGGAUAUUGUGGGCUAUAUGUAGUUGUUUUGAGGAGUUACAUCACUCCUUGUGUUGAUGUUUUUCGGUUUUCUCAGUGGUGUAGGCCUAUCAGUGAUAAUUCUGCAGUUAUCUGCAGUUAUCUGCAGUAUGUGUGUAAUUGACCUAUUAUACCAUGUAUUUCUUGAUAUUAUCUUGACAUUCACAAUAUGUAGGCCUUUUCUAAUUUACAGCUAAAUAAUGGCAAUCAAAAUCAAUGUAUGGCAUACAAUCUUUUAUUUGUAGUCUUUUAAGUAAAUAAAUUACUUUCCAAAAUUCAAA
This is an RNA transcript of Clupea harengus (Atlantic herring), 4973 nucleotides long. It is a transcript of the gene named SFT2 domain containing 2b, with no coding region annotated. NCBI's taxonomy places the organism in Eukaryota, Metazoa, Chordata, Actinopteri, Clupeiformes, Clupeidae. The record is from RefSeq and is a predicted model, not a curated record. The transcript is spliced from 9 exons.